CGGGAUGUGGCGCAGUCCGGUUAGCGUACACGGCUGGGGGCCGUGUGGUCGCAGGUUCAAAUCCUGUCAUCCCGACUA
RNAcentral lists this transfer RNA (78 nucleotides) under Tamlana sp. s12. Its description in RNAcentral is "tRNA-Pro". It matches the Rfam family "tRNA". From Rfam's summary of the family: Transfer RNA (tRNA) molecules are approximately 80 nucleotides in length. RNAcentral also lists the same sequence under 5 other names. Lineage: Bacteria; Pseudomonadati; Bacteroidota; Flavobacteriia; Flavobacteriales; Flavobacteriaceae. The record is from RNAcentral.